Molecule: long non-coding RNA, 481 nt
Filed under: Vigna radiata
Lineage: Eukaryota; Viridiplantae; Streptophyta; Magnoliopsida; Fabales; Fabaceae
Description: long non-coding RNA (VRAD_LNC003760)
Source: RNAcentral
AAGAGCCUCUGCCACCAAAGCCGACACGCCUCCGUGCAACACCUUGAAGGACUUCACCAUGUGCAAAAUUAAACCAUAAAGUUCCCAUCUUUACUAAAGACAAACAAAAACCAGAAUAGUGGGCGAGAGAAACAGGCAGAGGCAUAAGGAGAAGGAGAAGAAAUGGAGGCAGGGUGAGAAUGGCGAUGACCGCGGAGGGGGAGGGUCGGCGAGGGAGUCGCUAGAAGUGGGCAGUGAUGGAGGAAGAACGGUGGCAAGUGAGGAGAGGAAGAUGAAGACCACGGGGUGGAGAAGAGGAAGGCGCCAAACCAGCGGUGCAGUAGAGCAGGGAGGAACGGUGCAGCAGUUGGUGUGGAGUAGGGAGGGCAAUGCAGAGGGGCGGUGCAGCAACGGUGGUUCAACAAUAGUGCAGCAGGCCGAGGCAGUUGUGUGGACUUCUCAAUGAAGGCAGCAUCGGUGGUUGAGCAACGGUGGUUCAGCG